GUAAGGCUCCACGCUUCCAGAAGGAUUGUAAGUUAUUUUUGGUUUAGAUGUGGUCUUCCUUCUAUUCGCUCUACUCGGAGGAGCCCUAUACCUAGUCUCUCCUUUGAACCAGAAGCGAAUCCAGUCCUUCAUCCAUACCCCUUGGUCGUUCGUCCAAAGGUGGUAGUAGGCAGAAAAGAGGUGCCUGCAACUCUCGGGGAGAAGUGGCUUCCCUUCUUUGUCACGUGUAAGGAGCUCCCGCGCCGAAGGAACAAUUUCAUCGAAAAAUGCGCCGUCAAUCGAAAGGCCACCGAGUCGAUAGAGGUCCCAAAGUGUGAUGGACAACUCCCCAACGGGCGUAUGG
RNAcentral lists this long non-coding RNA (343 nucleotides) under Coffea arabica (coffee). RNAcentral describes it as "long non-coding RNA (CARA_LNC004304)". The record is from RNAcentral. Lineage: Eukaryota; Viridiplantae; Streptophyta; Magnoliopsida; Gentianales; Rubiaceae.